GGCUUUAUAGUGUAUUUAGCACAUUAGAUUGCAAGUCUACUAGAGGAUAAAUCCUAAAGCUU
Molecule: transfer RNA, 62 nt
Filed under: Ophiura albida
Lineage: Eukaryota; Metazoa; Echinodermata; Ophiuroidea; Amphilepidida; Ophiuridae
Also listed under: 1 other name
Description: transfer RNA-Cys
Source: RNAcentral